RNAcentral lists this ribosomal RNA (1215 nucleotides) under seawater metagenome. RNAcentral's name for it is "bacterial LSU rRNA". It matches the Rfam family "Bacterial large subunit ribosomal RNA", at positions 1232 to 2418 of the family's 2925-position model. The record is from RNAcentral.
GGGAGCGUUCCCAGGGCGUUGAAGCGGCAGCGAUAAGCUAGCCGUGGAGGCCUGGGAAGUGAGAAUGUUGGCAUGAGUAACGAGAGAGGGGUGAGAAACCCCUCCGCCGAAAGUCCAAGGGUUCCUGAGUAAAGCAAAUCUGCUCAGGGUUAGUCGGAACCUAAGCCGAGGCCGAAAGGCGUAGGCGAUGGAAAACGGGCUUAAUAUUCCCGUACCAGUCUAUAUUUGUUUGAACUAUGUGGUAACGUAGAAGUGAAAGAUCAGCCAGGUUUUGAUUGUCCUGGUUUAAGUGCGUAGGGAGUUCUGAUAGGUAAAUCCGUUAGAACAAUUCCGAGACACGAAUAGGAGGGCCUAGCCCACAAACUGAUCCUAAUCAUGCUACCGAGAAAAACCUCUAUGUGAGAAUAUAAACUGACCGUACUCUAAACGGACACACGUGGGUGAGGAGAGUAUCCUAAGGUGCUUGAGUGAUUCUAGGUUAAGGAACUAGGCAAAUUGGCCCCGUAACUUCGGGAGAAGGGGUGCCUUUUUAGGUGAGAUCAUUUACUGGUCAAGCUAGAAAAGGCCGCAGUGAAAAGGCGCGAGCGACUGUUUAUCAAAAACACAGGUCUCUGCUAACACGUAAGUGGAUGUAUAGAGACUGACGCCUGCCCGGUGCCGGUAGGUUAAGGAAGCGGGUUAUCCCUUUCGGGGGAGAAGCUCUCGACCGAAGCCCCGGUAAACGGCGGCCGUAACUAUGACGGUCCUAAGGUAGCGAAGUUCCUUGUCGGGUAAGUUCCGACGCGCACGAAUGGCGUAACGACUGCCCCAUUGUCUCAACAUAGGGCUCGGUGAAAUUGUAGUCGCGGUGAAGAUGCCGCGUAACCGCACAAGGACGGAAAGACCCCGUGAACCUUUACUGCCGCCUGAUAUUGGGCUCUGACACAUUAUGUGUAGCAUAGGUGGGAGGCUUUGAAGCGGGCACGCUAGUGUUCGUGGAGCCACAAUGUGAAAUACCACUCUUAAUGUGUUAGUGUUCUAACUUGGUACCUUGAAUCCGGGCAACGAACAGUGUCAGUUGGGCAGUUUGGCUGGGGCGGUCUCCUCCCAAAGAGUAACGGAGGAGCACAAUGGUACCCUCAGUCUGGUUGGCAAUCAGACGUAGAGCGUAAAGGUAAAAGGGUGCUUGACUGCGAGGCUUAUCAGCCGAGCAGGUACGAAAGUAGGUCUUAGUGA